Molecule: ribosomal RNA, 253 nt
Filed under: uncultured bacterium
Lineage: Bacteria
Description: partial 16S ribosomal RNA
Rfam family: Bacterial small subunit ribosomal RNA
Source: RNAcentral
UACGUAGGGGGCAAGCGUUGUCCGGAAUCAUUGGGCGUAAAGAGCGUGUAGGCGGCCCGAUAAGUCCGCUGUGAAAGUCCAGGGCUCAACCCUGGGAUGCCGGUGGAUACUGUCGAGCUCGAGUCCGGAAGAGGCGAGUGGAAUUCCUGGUGUAGCGGUGAAAUGCGCAGAUAUCAGGAGGAACACCAAUGGCGAAGGCAGCUCGCUGGGACGGUACUGACGCUGAGACGCGAAAGCGUGGGGAGCAAACAGG